RNAcentral lists this long non-coding RNA (263 nucleotides) under Ovis aries (sheep). RNAcentral's name for it is "lncRNA (ENSOARG00000026160.1)". Lineage: Eukaryota; Metazoa; Chordata; Mammalia; Artiodactyla; Bovidae. The record is from RNAcentral.
CAAACUCACUUCAGUGGAGAAGCAUUCUCUAGAAGCCAACAGCCUUAUAUCAGUACAUUCUUCCAAUUCUGGGCACUGUAGGCAGCUUUACUAGACGAGAAAUAGGACAAAGUCUUGCCCAAUGUGGUCUAAUUUCUUCUCUCUUAGAAACAGCAUCUGAAUUGUUAUCUGUGAUACUCUUCACAUCUAUUUAAGAUAAAUUUGGAAAAUGUUGCUAAAGCCUUGGAAAUAAACGUCUCAAACCCAGAGACGCUUAAAAAUCA